CGUAGGGGGCAAGCGUUGUCCGGAAUCAUUGGGCGUAAAGCGCGCGUAGGCGGCCUCACAAGUCCGCUGUAAAAGUCAAAGGCUCAACCUUUGAAUGCCAGUGGAAACUGUGAGGCUAGAGUCCGGAAGAGGCGAGUGGAAUUCCUGGUGUAGCGGUGGAAUGCGCAGAUAUCAGGAGGAACACCAACGGCGAAGGCAGCUCGCUGGGACGGUACUGACGCUGAGGCGCGAAAGCGUGGGGAGCAAACAGGAUUAGAUACCCUGGUAGUCCACGCCGUAAACGAUGGGCACUAGGUGUGGGAGGUGUCGACUCCUCCCGUGCCGGCGCUAACGCAUUAAGUGCCCCGCCUGGGGAGUACGGCCGCAAGGCUA
Molecule: ribosomal RNA, 372 nt
Filed under: uncultured organism
Description: bacterial SSU rRNA
Rfam family: Bacterial small subunit ribosomal RNA
Source: RNAcentral